AGGACAAACGCUGGCGGCGUGCGUUAAACAUGCAAGUCGAACGGGGGUCUUCGCAAGGGGGCUUCAGUGGCGAACGGCUGAGUAGCACGUACUGGACCUGCCCAUAGGUGGGGGAUAGCCCGAGGAAACUUGGGGUAAUACCGCAUGAGGUCGUCGGUGUAGAGGCCGAUGAGGAAAGCAUCGUAAGGUGUGCCUGUGGAGGGUGGUGCGGCCCAUCAGGUAGUUGGUGGAGUAGUGGUUCACCAAGCCGGUGACGGGUGGCCGGUCUGAGAGGAUGGUCGGCCAGACUGGGACUGUGACACGGCCCAGGACACCUACGGGUGGCAGCAGUGGGGAAUUUGGACAAUGGGCGCAAGCCUGAUCCAGCCAUGCCGCGUGCGGGAAGAAGGCCUUCGGGUUGUAAACCGCUUUUGUCAGGAAGAACGCUCCGGUUAAUACCCGUGGAGUAAGUGACGUACCUGAAGAAUAAGCACCGGCUAACACGUGCCAGCAGCCGCGU
Molecule: ribosomal RNA, 499 nt
Filed under: uncultured soil bacterium
Lineage: Bacteria
Description: bacterial SSU rRNA
Rfam family: Bacterial small subunit ribosomal RNA
Source: RNAcentral